GGAGGAAUAUUGGUCAAUGGGCGGAAGCCUGAACCAGCCAAGUCGCGUGAGGGAAGACGGUCCUAUGGAUUGUAAACCUCUUUUGCAGGGGAGCAAGACGCGGUACGUGUACCGUGCUGGAGAGUACCCUGAGAAAAAGCAUCGGCUAACUCCGUGCCAGCAGCCGCGGUAAUACGGAGGAUGCGAGCGUUAUCCAGAUUUUAUUGGGCUUUAAAGGGUUGCGUAGGCGGACUGGUAAGUCAGCGGUAAAAAGUGCGGUGCUCAACGCCGUAGUGCCGUUGAAACUGCCGGUCUUGAGUGAGCGAGAAGUAUGCGGAAUGCGUGGUGUAGCGGUGAAAUGCAUAGAUAUCACGCAGAACUCCGAUUGCGAAGGCAGCAUACCGGCGCUCAACUGACGCUGAGGCACGAAAGCGUGGGGAUCGAACAGGAUUAGAUACC
This 438-nucleotide ribosomal RNA is filed under the name uncultured bacterium. RNAcentral's name for it is "bacterial SSU rRNA". It matches the Rfam family "Bacterial small subunit ribosomal RNA", at positions 355 to 786 of the family's 1533-position model. The record is from RNAcentral.